This 155-nucleotide ribosomal RNA is filed under the name Echiochilon longiflorum. Its description in RNAcentral is "5.8S ribosomal RNA". It matches the Rfam family "5.8S ribosomal RNA". Rfam says of the family: 5.8S ribosomal RNA (5.8S rRNA) is a component of the large subunit of the eukaryotic ribosome. Lineage: Eukaryota; Viridiplantae; Streptophyta; Magnoliopsida; Boraginales; Boraginaceae. The record is from RNAcentral.
AACGGAUAUCUCGGCUCUCGCAUCGAUGAAGAACGUAGCGAAAUGCGAUACUUGGUGUGAAUUGCAGAAUCCCGUGAACCAUCGAGUCUUUGAACGCAAGUUGCGCCUAAAGCCAUUAGGCUAAGGGCACGUCUGCCUGGGCGUCACGCAUCACG